This 1248-nucleotide ribosomal RNA is filed under the name metagenome. RNAcentral describes it as "bacterial LSU rRNA". It matches the Rfam family "Bacterial large subunit ribosomal RNA", at positions 1635 to 2875 of the family's 2925-position model. The record is from RNAcentral.
UAUACGACCGUACCGCAAACCGACACUGGUGCGCGAGAUGAGUAUUCUAAGGCGCUUGAGAGAACUCAGGAGAAGGAACUCGGCAAAUUGACACCGUAACUCCGGAAGAAGGUGUGCCCUAUUAGUGUGUAGUGAACAACGAAGCAUGAAUGGGUUGCAAAAAAUCGGUGGCUGCGACUGUCUAUUAAAAACACAGCACUCUGCAAACACGAAAGUGGACGUAUAGGGUGUGACGCCUGCCCGGUGCUGGAAGAUUAAAUGAUGGGGUGCAAGCUCUUGAUUGAAGUCCCAGUAAACGGCGGCCGUAACAAUAACGGUCCUAAGGUAGCGAAAUUCCUUGUCGGGUAAGUUCCGACCUGCACGAAUGGCGUAACGAUGGCCACACUGUCUCCUCCUGAGACUCAGCGAAGUUGAAAUGUUUGUGAUGAUGCAAUCUCCCCGCGGAAAGACGGAAAGACCCCAUGAACCUUUACUGUAGCUUUGUAUUGGACUUUGAACAGAUCUGUGUAGGAUAGGUGGGAGGCUUUGAAGCAGGGUCGCUAGAUCUUGUGGAGCCAACGUUGAAAUACCACCCUGGUGUGUUUGAGGUUCUAACCUAGGUCCAUUAUCUGGAUCGGGGACAGUGCAUGGUAGGCAGUUUGACUGGGGCGGUCUCCUCCCAAAGCGUAGCGGAGGAGUUCGAAGGUACGCUAGUUACGGUCGGACAUCGUGACGAUAGUGCAAUGGCAUAAGCGUGCUUAACUGCGAGACUGACAAGUCGAGCAGAUGCGAAAGCAGGACAUAGUGAUCCGGUGGUUCUGUAUGGAAGGGCCAUCGCUCAACGGAUAAAAGGUACUCUGGGGAUAACAGGCUGAUACCGCCCAAGAGUUCAUAUCGACGGCGGUGUUUGGCACCUCGAUGUCGGCUCAUCUCAUCCUGGGGCUGUAGCCGGUCCCAAGGGUAUGGCUGUUCGCCAUUUAAAGAGGUACGUGAGCUGGGUUUAAAACGUCGUGAGACAGUUUGGUCCCUAUCUUCCGUGGGCGCUGCAGAUUUGAGGAAGCCUGCUCCUAGUACGAGAGGACCGGAGUGGACACACCUCUGGUGUAUCGGUUGUCACGCCAGUGGCAUUGCCGAGUAGCUAAGUGUGGAAGAGAUAACCGCUGAAAGCAUCUAAGCGGGAAACUCGUUUCAAGAUGAGAUCUGCCGGGGCCUUGAGCCCCCUAAAGAGUCGUUCAAGACCAGGACGUUGAUAGGUCAGGUGUGGAAGUG